Molecule: long non-coding RNA, 724 nt
Filed under: Triticum aestivum (bread wheat)
Lineage: Eukaryota; Viridiplantae; Streptophyta; Magnoliopsida; Poales; Poaceae
Description: long non-coding RNA (TAES_LNC026856)
Source: RNAcentral
AUCAAUUAAAAUACAACUUUUGCAGUGUAGUUUCAGAAAUAAAACACAUAUACACAAGUUUGUCAAGUAUGUGUCGAAGUUCAAAAACAGUAAACUUGAUGUAUGUAGUAUGUUGUAGUACCUCUAUGCACUGGCGGAGGCUCAUGGAGGACAAACAGGGGUGUGACACCACCUUCUCUGUCAUCCAUUUAUCAUGUCGUGCUGUGCCCCACUAAGCAUCAGCCAACGGCUUGCUGCUGCAUCUGCACGCCACGAAUGUUAAUGCCUGUCAUAUUGUGCGCCACCGAUAAUCACCAGCGGCUUGUUGUUGCAUCUGCAUGCCAGCACUGCUACUGCCCUUCUCGUCAUCUCAUGUUCCUGCCAUAUUGUGCGCCACCGAUCAUCACCAGCGGCUUGCUGAUGCAUCUGCACACCAGCACUAUUGUUGCCCUUCUCGUCAUCUAAUGCUCCAGCCGUAUUGUGCGCCACAAAUCAUCACUGGUGGCUUGCUGCUGCAUCUGCGUGCCAUGUAAAAAGAUGUGAUCCAUGUGAGCUUAAUUCAUAUGUUACGACUCGGUCAGCCAAGCUAUUAUUGUAUCAAUUAAAGAAACUUGAUUCAGAUUAGAAGUACUUAAGCCGCACCUUACUUAAGCCGCACCUGUUUUCAAUUUAUCACACAUAUUUUUCUUUUAGUUUGAAUUUAGCGCCACUUGGCUGCUUGUCACGCUCCACCACUGCCACUAUG